AAAAGCUCAACUUUGAAAUCUGGCACCUUCGGUGUCCGAAUUGUAGUCUCUAGAAGUGUCUUCCGUGCUGGCCCAUGUGUGAGUCUGUUGGAACACAGCGUCAUAGAGGGUGACAACCCCGUUCAUAACAUGGACCCCAGUGCUUUGUGAUACACUCUCGACGAGUCGAGUUGUUUGGGAAUGCAGCUCAAAUUGGGUGGUAAAUUCCAUCUAAAGCUAAAUAUUGGCGAGAGACCGAUAGCAAACAAGUACCGUGAGGGAAAGAUGAAAAGCACUUUGGAAAGAGAGUUAACAGUACGUGAAAUUGUUGAAAGGGAAACGAUUGAAGUCAGACGUGCGUGGUGCGGUUCAGCUCUGGUUCGCCAGAGUGUAUUCCGUGCCUUUGCAGGCCAACAUCGGUUUCACGAGGCGGAUAAAGGCUUGAGAAAUGUGGCACCUUCGGGUGUGUUAUAGUCUCUUGCUGAAUACGCCUCGAGGGACCGAGGAACGCAGCGCGCCGCAAGGCAAAGACUCCGGUCUUUUC
This 523-nucleotide ribosomal RNA is filed under the name Cystastrum brasiliense. RNAcentral describes it as "Occultifur brasiliensis partial large subunit ribosomal RNA". It matches the Rfam family "Eukaryotic large subunit ribosomal RNA", at positions 103 to 612 of the family's 3401-position model. The record is from RNAcentral. Lineage: Eukaryota; Fungi; Basidiomycota; Cystobasidiomycetes; Cystobasidiales; Cystobasidiaceae.